This 329-nucleotide unclassified non-coding RNA is filed under the name soil metagenome. Its description in RNAcentral is "partial contains 5.8S ribosomal RNA, internal transcribed spacer 2, and large subunit ribosomal RNA". The stretch from base 1 to 120 matches the Rfam family "5.8S ribosomal RNA", at positions 35 to 154 of the family's 154-position model. The record is from RNAcentral.
GAUGAAGAACGCAGCGAAAUGCGAUAAGUAAUGUGAAUUGCAGAAUUCAGUGAAUCAUCGAAUCUUUGAACGCACAUCGCGCCCCCUGGUAUUCCGGGGGGCAUGCCUGUCCGAGCGUCAUUACAACCCUCAAGCUCAGCUUGGUAUUGGGCCCCGCCGACCCGGCGGGCCCUAAAGUCAGUGGCGGUGCCGUCCGGCUCCGAGCGUAGUAAUUCUUCUCGCUCUGGAGGUCCGGUCGUGUGCUCGCCAGCAACCCCCAAUUUUUUUCAGGUUGACCUCGGAUCAGGUAGGGAUACCCGCUGAACUUAAGCAUAUCAAUAAGCGGAGGA